Filobasidium floriforme is the source of this 87-nucleotide non-coding RNA. NCBI's taxonomy places the organism in Eukaryota, Fungi, Basidiomycota, Tremellomycetes, Filobasidiales, Filobasidiaceae. The record is from the annotation of a RefSeq genome assembly.
CUCUCUAUAGCUCAGUUGGUAGAGCGAGGGACUGUAAUAGUCAACCUUGUCAUCCCUAGGUCCAUUGUUCGAAUCAGUGUGGAGAGA